This 1393-nucleotide ribosomal RNA is filed under the name uncultured bacterium. Its description in RNAcentral is "16S ribosomal RNA". It matches the Rfam family "Bacterial small subunit ribosomal RNA". The record is from RNAcentral.
AGAGUUUGAUCCUGGCUCAGGAUGAACGCUAGCGGCAGGCUUAACACAUGCAAGUCGAGGGGUAACGCGGGGUAGCAAUACUCUGGCGACGACCGGCGCACGGGUGCGUAACGCGUAUGCAACCUACCUGUAACAGGGGGAUAACGGAGGGAAACUUCCACUAAUACCCCAUAUUGUCAUUCUUUCGCAUGUUAGGAUGACGAAAGCUUCGGUGGUUACGGAUGGGCAUGCGUGACAUUAGGUAGUUGGUGAGGCAACGGCUCACCAAGCCGACGAUGUCUAGGGGAGCUGAGAGGCUUAUCCCCCACACUGGUACUGAGACACGGACCAGACUCCUACGGGAGGCAGCAGUGAGGAAUAUUGGUCAAUGGACGGAAGUCUGAACCAGCCAUGCCGCGUGGAGGAAGAAGGUCCUAUGGGUUGUAAACUGCUUUUAUAGGGGAAUAAAGUGUGGUACGUGUACCGUUUUGUAUGUACCCUAUGAAUAAGGACCGGCUAAUUCCGUGCCAGCAGCCGCGGUAAUACAGAAGGUCCGGGCGUUAUCCGGAUUUAUUGGGUUUAAAGGGAGCGCAGGCGGGACCUUAAGCGUGUUGUGAAAUGUACCGGCUCAACCGGUGAUGUGCAGCGCGAACUGGGGUUCUUGAGUGGGUACGACGUCGGCGGAAUUCGUGGUGUAGCGGUGAAAUGCUUAGAUAUCACGAGGAACCCCGAUUGCGAAGGCAGCCGACGAGUCCCUUACUGACGCUAAUGCUCGAAAGUGCGGGUAUCGAACAGGAUUAGAUACCCUGGUAGUCCGCAUGGUAAACGAUGGAUGCCCGCUGUUGGCGAUACAAUGUCAGCGGCCAAGCGAAAGCGUUAAGCAUCCCACCUGGGGAGUACGCCGGCAACGGUGAAACUCAAAGGAAUUGACGGGGGCCCGCACAAGCGGAGGAACAUGUGGUUUAAUUCGAUGAUACGCGAGGAACCUUACCCGGGCUUGAACUGCCGGCGAACGAUUCAGAGAUGAUGAGGCCCUUCGGGGCGCCGGUGGAGGUGCUGCAUGGUUGUCGUCAGCUCGUGCCGUGAGGUGUCAGGUUAAGUCCUAUAACGAGCGCAACCCCUGCCGACAGUUGCCAGCGUGCAAGACGGGGACUCUGUCGGGACUGCCGGCGCAAGCCGCGAGGAAGGUGGGGAUGACGUCAAAUCAGCACGGCCCUUACGUCUAGGGCGACACACGUGUUACAAUGGCCGGUACAGAGGGCAGCCACCCCGCGAGGGGGAGCGAAUCUCGAAAGCCGGUCUCAGUUCGGAUCGGAGUCUGCAACCCGACUCCGUGAAGUUGGAUUCGCUAGUAAUCGCGCAUCAGCCAUGGCGCGAUGAAUACGUUCCCGGGCCUUGCACACACCGCCCGUCA